AACGAACGCUGGCGGCAGGCCUAACACAUGCAAGUCGAGCGCCCCGCAAGGGGAGCGGCGGACGGGUGAGUAACGCGUGGGAACGUACCUUUUGCUUCGGAAUAGCCUCGGGAAACUGGGAGUAAUACCGAAUGUGCCCUAUGGGGGAAAGAUUUAUCGGCAAAAGAUCGGCCCGCGUUGGAUUAGGUAGUUGGUGGGGUAAUGGCCUACCAAGCCGACGAUCCAUAGCUGGUUUGAGAGGAUGAUCAGCCACACUGGGACUGAGACACGGCCCAGACUCCUACGGGAGGCAGCAGUGGGGAAUCUUAGACAAGGGGCGCAAGCCUGAUCUAGCCAUGCCGCGUGAGCGAUGAAGGCCUUAGGGUUGUAAAGCUCUUUCGUGGGGGAAGAUAAUGACUGUACCCCAAGAAGAAGCCCCGGCUAACUCCGUGCCAGCCGCCGCGGUA
Molecule: ribosomal RNA, 446 nt
Filed under: uncultured bacterium
Lineage: Bacteria
Description: partial 16S ribosomal RNA
Rfam family: Bacterial small subunit ribosomal RNA
Source: RNAcentral